ACGUCGGUCUAGUACAGGGAACAAGAAGAUUGUUAACGUUUUUGACCCUUUUUAAAGAAAAAUAGUAGUUAACGAACUGAGUAAAAUGGAAACAGGGUAUGUUAAGGCAAAUUCAACAAAUCUGCCAAAAAUUGAUGCGCUAAUGGUGUAUCAAUUUAUUAGAGAAGACGACCGCUUUAAUGCUGCCGAAAUGCGAGGAGUAAAAACAUCUGCGGCAUGUCGAGAAACAUAUGGAGAUUCAGCAAUAGGAUAUGUCUGCCUAAAACGAGAGAGUUCAAAGUGCACUGUGAAGGCAAGGAUUUGUCCGGAGCAUCGAGUAAGAAGUAAAAGUUACUCAGUAACUUUAAUCGUGGAUGAGGAAGAAGAGAAAGUGUUGAAUGCCAUGAUUGUACAGCGUCGUUAGGUGGUUGUAAACAUUCGGUAGCCUUUUUAAUGUGGAUCCACAGACGAACAGAAAAUCCAGCACCGACAGAGGUUGCUUGUUAUUGGAAAAAGGUUGUUUUAUCAACUAUUGGAGCAACUAAAAAAUACAUUGAAACUAAGGAGUUGUACAAAAAAGAAGUACAGAAUAUAGAAAAUUUUCCUGACAACGCAACAUUUCUGCAGGACAUUGUGAAAAUAGCCAAGGAGAAGCAACUUGACAGUCAGUUAUCGCAACAUCAUUUUGAACUGAAGGAACGCCGAUUAUACUCAUUGUCAAUGCAUCGACUGAUUGUUGAGUUUUCAGCAAGUGGAAUGAAAACUGCAGAUGAUUUUUUAAUAUUUUGUAUUUCCAAAAUGUCAAAAGAAUUAUGUUUUGAAGCGGAAAAUGCAACUAAAAUGCAAAGUAACAGCCAUUUAUGGUUCGAACUUCGCUACGGUAGAAUAACUGCAUCGAUAUUACAUGAAACUGCAAAUUGUAACACCGAAGAUGGAAGUCUUGUACAGCGGAUCACUGGCGCAUCCAAAGUAUAUGAUACAAAAGAAAUGGAAAGAGGGAAAUGUCUUGAGAAAGAAGUACUUAAAGAAGUUGAGAAAAUAGUAGGCCAAAAACUGAAAAAUUGUGGUCUUUUUUUAAUGCCAAAUUACCCGAUUUUGGGAGCUUCUCCGGAUGCUAUGGGUAAUGAUUUUAUUGUGGAAGUGAAGUGAAGUGUCCAAAUUCAGACAAAGCUAUUUCUCGAUUUCUAUCGAAAGGAAAAAUAGCUUCUAGGUGCAAAGCACAAAUAAAUCUUCAAAUGCUAGCUACAAAUACAAAAAAGGGUUUAUCUUGUGUUGCUGAUCCUGAUUUCGAAAAUAAUAGAAAAGUGAAAACGGUUUGGGUAGAUUAUAAUAAAGAUUAUACUACAGCUGUAACAGAACAAGCUAUCAAUUUCUGGAAAAAAAAUAUUUAUUGUAAAUUGAUGAAUUCUAUUUUAAGAUAAAAUAUGCAUUAAUAAAAAGUUUGUUAUGU
Formica exsecta is the source of this 1429-nucleotide long non-coding RNA. RefSeq lists it as uncharacterized. Lineage: Eukaryota; Metazoa; Arthropoda; Insecta; Hymenoptera; Formicidae. The transcript is spliced from 3 exons. The record is from RefSeq and is a predicted model, not a curated record.